Molecule: long non-coding RNA, 753 nt
Organism: Cicer arietinum (chickpea)
Lineage: Eukaryota; Viridiplantae; Streptophyta; Magnoliopsida; Fabales; Fabaceae
Source: RefSeq, a predicted model, not a curated record
AUUCUAAAAUCUAUACUAAAUCUCCUAAACUUAGUCCUCUUUAUCUUUUUAUCUUAAUAUUGUUUAUGUUCUGUCAAUGCCCCUCUUGUAACUAUUCGAAUAUUUGAGCACUCACUACCAACAUGUUCUAAUACCCUCUCAUUCACUAUCUUAGGUAUGUUCUUUUCUUUGCCAAAACUAUUUUGAAUCUAUUACUAACUUGAUCGUUGGAGUCUUUGCAGGUACCACACCCAUUGCUCAUGAGCGGAAACAAUUUUGGCAACAACAGUUGGUCAAUCUAAUCUACUUCAUAUUUGGACAAUCAUUCUAGAAAUGAACAUCUUGUCCCUGUCCUUCUCAACCUCCAAGUGUCGUUUGUCUGCUUGAGGUUGAAAUUGGCCUACAUUCAAGAGAUGUAAGCAUACACGCAGUAUAUUCCACCACGAGCCUUUCUAGAUCAUUACUCCAAAUCCUAAGAUUGAGUAUUUCUUUUCAACACUUGUUAGGAUUAGGCAAUAGUAUAUAAUUGAAACCAAGAGAUCUCUGUUCAACACAUGUCCAAUGCUUUCUCUGCUUACAUCAAGUGACCAUUUUACUUCCUCUGGUUCACAAUACAAUAUAUCUGGAUUGAUGUGAAACUUUGAAGUUCUAGGAGGUCAGAUUAUUUCCUUUCUUUGUAGUGUUACAAUAUUGUUUCAUUUGGCCUAUUGUUUUUAUCUUGACCUUAAUUUGUAUAAACUUCAGCUUCCAUGAUAUUGUUAUUUUUAUUUUCCA